This 697-nucleotide ribosomal RNA is filed under the name uncultured beta proteobacterium. Its description in RNAcentral is "bacterial SSU rRNA". It matches the Rfam family "Bacterial small subunit ribosomal RNA", at positions 111 to 804 of the family's 1533-position model. The record is from RNAcentral. Lineage: Bacteria; Pseudomonadati; Pseudomonadota; Betaproteobacteria.
UAAUACAUCGGAACGUGCCCAGUAGUGGGGGAUAGCCCGGCGAAAGCCGGAUUAAUACCGCAUACGACCUACGGGUGAAAGCGGGGGAUCGCAAGACCUCGCGCUAUUGGAGCGGCCGAUGUCGGAUUAGCUAGUUGGUGGGGUAAAGGCCUACCAAGGCUACGAUCCGUAGCUGGUCUGAGAGGACGACCAGCCACACUGGGACUGAGACACGGCCCAGACUCCUACGGGAGGCAGCAGUGGGGAAUUUUGGACAAUGGGCGCAAGCCUGAUCCAGCCAUGCCGCGUGCGGGAAGAAGGCCUUCGGGUUGUAAACCGCUUUUGUCAGGGAAGAAACGGUUUGGGUUAAUAACUCAAACUAAUGACGGUACCUGAAGAAUAAGCACCGGCUAACUACGUGCCAGCAGCCGCGGUAAUACGUAGGGUGCAAGCGUUAAUCGGAAUUACUGGGCGUAAAGCGUGCGCAGGCGGCUUUGCAAGACAGAUGUGAAAUCCCCGGGCUCAACCUGGGAACUGCAUUUGUGACUGCAUCGCUGGAGUGCGGCAGAGGGGGAUGGAAUUCCGCGUGUAGCAGUGAAAUGCGUAGAUAUGCGGAGGAACACCGAUGGCGAAGGCAAUCCCCUGGACCAAUACUGACACUGAGGCACGAAAGCGUGGGUAGCAAACAGGAUUAGAUACCCUGGUAGUCCACGCCCUA